Cavia porcellus (domestic guinea pig) is the source of this 634-nucleotide long non-coding RNA. RefSeq lists it as uncharacterized. The transcript is spliced from 3 exons. The record is from RefSeq and is a predicted model, not a curated record. Lineage: Eukaryota; Metazoa; Chordata; Mammalia; Rodentia; Caviidae.
AGUGAAUUCAGUUGGUCAGUGCUUAACCUCUAUGGACCCAGAGGAAAGAUCAUCAGCAUCCCAGGCAGCUGUCCUCAGGGGGCAGGGCCACCCGGGUGGCCAAGAAGGCUGAGCCUGGCAUGAAUGGAGACCUUGUGCCACAUCCCUCACUGGAGCCAGGAGCCACAACACAGGGGCUUUUCACGAGAAAUCUUACAACAGGGAUGGCAUUAAGCGUGACCAGUGGCCAGCGGGCAGACGUGGGGUCUGGAGGACACGUGGCAUCAGUGGCAUAACAUCUCUGCUCCUCCUGAUCCUGCCUGAGUCGAGGAGCCACUCAGAGGUCUCUUUCCUGACGGAGGACACAUUGUCACAGGGACCAGAGCUGCAGCCGCUCUCCGAGAGCCCCUCAGCUGCACAGAAUGAGCCUAAAAUCCAAUUCCCGGAGAACAUCAGCAAACAGAACGGAUGCAGAACCAGAGGAAGUGCCAGAGGCCUGGCGUCUUUGCCAGAUCCCCGAUGAAGCCAGACUCGGGUUUUUGCUGGCUGCUGCCUUGAAGUGUUGCCCCUGUGACAUGCCGCCCUGCCUUGGAGCCGCUGAUUAUGGACUAAAACCUCCACAAACUGUGAGCUUAAUAAACCUUUCUUUCCUUAA